GACGAACGCUGGCGGCGUGCUUAACACAUGCAAGUCGAACGGUGAAGCGCUUUCCUUUUUGGUUGGUGUGGAUGCGUGGCGAACGGGUGAGUAACACGUGAGUAACCUGCCCCCUUCUUCUGGAUAACCGCAUGAAAGUGUGGCUAAUACGGGAUAUUCUGCGCCUGCUGCAUGGUGGGUGUGGGACAGCUUGUGCCUUUGGGUGUUUUCGGUGGGGGAUUGGCUCGCGGCUUAUGAGCUUGUUGGUGGUGUGAUGGCCUACCAGGGCGGUGACUGGUAGCCGGUCGGCGGGGGUGGGGGUUCAGAGUGGGACUGGGACAAGGCCGAGAGUCCUACGGGAGGCAGCCGUGGGGGAGAUUGCAGAGUGGGCGAAAGCCCGAUGCAGGGAAGCCGGGUGAGGGAUGGCGGCGUGCGGGUUGUGGGCCUCUUGGGCCAGAGAAGCAGGCCCGUGCCAUGUGGGGGGGUUGACGGUAGCUGGUAAAGAAGCGCCGGCUAACUACGUG
This 503-nucleotide ribosomal RNA is filed under the name uncultured bacterium. RNAcentral describes it as "partial 16S ribosomal RNA". It matches the Rfam family "Bacterial small subunit ribosomal RNA", at positions 28 to 507 of the family's 1533-position model. The record is from RNAcentral.